This is a long non-coding RNA of Ruditapes philippinarum (Manila clam), 898 nucleotides long. RefSeq lists it as uncharacterized. NCBI's taxonomy places the organism in Eukaryota, Metazoa, Mollusca, Bivalvia, Venerida, Veneridae. The transcript has 2 exons. The record is from RefSeq and is a predicted model, not a curated record.
AGUGCAGUGACAACUGCAGUUAGCUGCAUUGGGUUCACAGUUACAUCCAGCUGCACCCCCGCAUUGAAAGAUCUUGCCGAUAAUUUUUACAAGGCAUCUUUCAGCCUCACAGCUUGUGGAAUACAAUCGCAUGCGUAUCUUUCCUUGUAUGGCGAUGACGUCGCAUGCAGUGGGCGUAACCUGUACCAGAAUGCUGCGUUAUGGCUUGCACUUUUGUGCAUCUUUGUAGGAAAAAUGCUGUAACUGUAGAUAUCUACAUGUAAUUUGAAAAGUACACAGUUGGGCACCACAUUAGAAUUAUUUCUUUUUGAAGUACAUUAUACAUGCGUCUACACAAAACACCAAUGACAUUGGCAGCACUGUACAGUUAUGAACAGAAAUCGGCACACAGGAAGUAACUUAGACACAAUCGCCACCCCACAUACUUAACCAUCGGGUAAAAUAGGCUUCAAAAUGCUUAAGAAUAAAAGUGGAUCUACGAAAAGAUUAAAACUACCAGCAAGAGAAGCAUAAACACAAUAAUGAUGUCUUGCUGAACCAUCUUCGAAGAUAUGAAAAAAUAGAUUAGUAACAUCUUGAAUUGAAUGAACUUGGAUAUCUUUUACGAACAACAAAAUGGCGCAAUCAGAUAGAAAGUUACAAUAACUUAAAAAAAGACAAAGAGCUAUUCAAGAAAGGGAUUCGGAGUGUCUCUUGGGUGUGUGAUUUGUGUGAUUUGCGAAUAUAGUUUUUAAUCAAAUUGUCAUCGAUAAUAUGUGCCUAUCUGAAAUAUUACAGUUGUAUUCCAAUCACUCCAUAAAACAAUGUAAUCAGUGACAUAUUAUAUAUUUGUUAUAAUGUUCUAUAUAUAUUGUGCAAUUCUUUAUAAUAAAUAAAUAUAUCACCGUCUGUACUUAAA